Plectropomus leopardus (leopard coralgrouper) is the source of this 428-nucleotide non-coding RNA. The record is from RefSeq and is a predicted model, not a curated record. NCBI's taxonomy places the organism in Eukaryota, Metazoa, Chordata, Actinopteri, Perciformes, Serranidae.
UUCCUGCAGAACUUUUAUCUCUGGAAGAAGGAUAAGAAAGCUCUCAAAGACAUAAAAGACAAAGACAAGGAGUUAUUAAUACAGGAGAACUUCUGCGGCACUUCCAUCAUCGUGCCCGAUCUCGAGGGGGUGAUGCACCUCAAAGAAGAUGGCAAGAAGUCCUGGAAACCAAGGCUCUUUCAGCUGAGGGCCUCUGGGAUUUAUUACGUGCCCAAAGGGAAAACCAAGUCGUCCCGUGACCUCGUCUGCUUUGUCCAGUUUGACAACGUGAACGUCUACUUUGGCAAAGACUUUAAGAGCAAAUAUAAAGCCCCGACCGACUUCUGCUUUAUUCUGAAGGUAGGUUAUCUUUAAAUGUGUUUUUUCUGAUCAUAGUUUGCUGCACUGUACACAGCUUUACUGUUGAAUUAAUGAACAGAGAAGCUGCC